RNAcentral lists this unclassified non-coding RNA (337 nucleotides) under plant metagenome. RNAcentral's name for it is "partial contains 5.8S ribosomal RNA, internal transcribed spacer 2, and large subunit ribosomal RNA". The stretch from base 1 to 105 matches the Rfam family "5.8S ribosomal RNA", at positions 50 to 154 of the family's 154-position model. The record is from RNAcentral.
GAAGUGCGAUAAGUAAUGUGACUUGCAGAAUACCGUGAAUCAUCGAAUCUUUGAACGCAUAUUGCACUCUCAGGUAUUCCGGAGAGUAUGCCUGUUUGAGGGUCAGCUAAAAAAAAUCAAGCGUUAUUGCUUUUUUGUGAUGACGUUUGGAAUUGAGUCGUCUUAACCUCACGGUCAAGUGACUUAAAAUUUUUUAAUGUGAUUUUCGAAACGUAUUUAAUAUUUUACGUACGUUUGCGAUAUCAAUCUAUUAGAUGUGGUCAUUUUCCAUGAUUCGCGUCUAUAGUUUUUCAUUAAAUGACCUCAAAUCAGGUAAGAGUACCCGCUGAACUUAAGC